RNAcentral lists this unclassified non-coding RNA (3931 nucleotides) under Hevea brasiliensis (rubber tree). Lineage: Eukaryota; Viridiplantae; Streptophyta; Magnoliopsida; Malpighiales; Euphorbiaceae. The record is from RNAcentral.
AAAAAACUCUCUCUCCUCUUCACAAAAUCAUCGCGACUUCUCUAGAAAUUCAAAAUUCAAUUUCUCUUUAAAAAAAAGGGUUUAAAUAUUCAUCAUUGUAAUUAUAAUUGUAAUAUUCAUAGAUCAAAAUUUAAGUUUCGAGAAGUGAUUUUGAUCGUUUGGUUAUUUGGCGAUUUUAUUUGUUUAUUUGAGAAAAAUAGAGAUGGAAGUAGAGUCGCCGGAAAGAGGGAAGAUAGGUGGAGUAGCGAUAGAAAUUCCGGCGAGUGAUGACGGAGCAACGAUAUGGUCGCCGCCGAGGGUUCCACCUAGGCUUCUUCAAAAGUUAUCGGAGCCGAAAACUUCUUCUCCUACUGCUGAAGAAAUUGAGGCUAAGCUUCGUGGCGCCGAUCUUCGUCGACAGAAAUUCUAUGAGUAUCUAUCAAGCAAAGCCAGACCAAAGCCCAGAAGCCCCUCACAGUCUCCAACUCAUGGAGAAGAUCUUGGACAGCGUCUUGAGGCUAAACUUCAGGCUGCUGAGGAGAAAAGGAUGAGCAUUCUAGCACAGGCUAAGUUGCGUCUGGCAAAAUUAGAUGAGUUAAGGCAGGCAGCUAAAACUGGAGCAGAAAUGCGCUUCAGACAGGAACGAGCUGAACUGGGUACAAAGGUUGAGUUGCGUGUACAGCAGGCUGAGGUAAACAGGAUGCUUCUCCUAAAAGCUAAUCGCCAAAGGAGGGCCACGCUGAGGGAGAGGACAUCUCAAUCAUUACUUCGCCGAAUGGCUCGUGAGAGCAAGUAUAAAGAGCGAGUGCGUGCCGCAAUCUUUCAAAAGCGUGCAGCUGCUGAGAAGAAGAGGAUGGGAUUGCUAGAAGCUGAAAAGAGGAGGGCAUGUGCUAGAGUCAUGCAAGUGCGUAAUGUUGUGAAGUCCAUUUCUCACCAGGAAGAGGUCAAAAGAAGGGAGAUGCAAACUAAAAUAGAAGACAAGCUGCAAAGGGCAAAGAGACAAAGAGAAGAAUAUUUGAUGCAGAGAGGAAAAGCACAUAAUUCCUUUUGUGACAGUUAUGAUGAGAUACAUGACCAGGCUGACCUGCUAUCAAGGAAAUUAGCAAGGUGUUGGAAGCAGUUCCUUACACGUGGAAAGACAACCUUCCACCUUGCAAAAGCUUAUACUAUGCUGAGUAUUAACGAGAAUGCAGUUAAGGUAAUGCCAUUUGAGCAGCUAGCAAUGAAGAUUGAAUCGCCUAAUACACUACAGAGAACUAAAGGUUUGCUUGAUCGGCUUGAGCUUCGCUUCAAAUUGUUGCGUGAUGUUGACAGUGUGACAAGUACCAUUGGUUGGGGUAAUAUUGAUCAUCUUCUCAACCGAGUAGCUACACCCAAAAAGAAGGCUACACCAAGGAGAUCUCUGCACAGUCGUGGUGCAAAAAAAAUAGUAUCGAACUUACCAGCAGUGACAACUCCAGUCAAGUUGUUGAGGUAUCCAGUUCGAAUCGUGCUGUGUGCAUAUAUGAUUCUUGGUCAUCCUGAUGCAGUGUUCAGUGGUAAAGGGGAGCGUGAGAUCGCCCUGGCCAAAUCUGCUGAAAAAUUUGUCAGAGAGUUUGAACUGCUGGUAAGGGUAAUAUUGAAUGGCUCCAUCCAGACUUCCGAUGGGGAUUCUGAUUGCGGAUUGGCAAGGCGCAGGACCUUCAAGUCGCAGCUCACAGAGUUUGAUUCAGCAUGGUGCUCUUACUUGAAUAGCUUUGUGGUGUGGAAGGUUAAAGAUGCCCAGUCUUUAGAGGAGGAUUUGGUUAGAGCUGCUUGCCAGCUUGAACUCUCCAUGAUUCAAAUAUGUCGGAUCACUGCUGAAGGAGAUGGUGGUGCUCUUACUCACGAUCUGAAGGCUAUCCAGAAACAGGUGAAUGAAGAUCAGAGACUUUUAAGAGAGAAAGUGCUUAAUAUUAGUGGAGGUGCUGGUAUUGAACGGAUGGAUAAUGCAAUUUCUGACACACGAAACAAAUACUUUGAAGCUAAAGAAAAUGGGAGUCCUGUGGGCUCUCCAAUUAUGCAGUCGGUAGCUCCAAGCCCAAUUGCUCUGACAAGCGCCUCUUCUUCUGUUGGGGGUUCAAAUAAAGGAGGGAAUUUGCUUGAGGUGAGUGAUCAGAAGCCAAAUCGUGUGGUGCGCUCCUUAUUUAGGGAUGAACUACCUUUAAAAGUUGGUUCUUCUGCCAAUAAAAGCUUGCAGUCAUCCCAUACUGAUGAGGGAUUGGUAAUGGAGAAUGAACUAAUUGUGAACGAGUCACUUCAUGGUCAGCAUCUUGAAUUUGCUGAGUCUUCAAAAGUUGCUGAUAAACACGAUAAUAGUAUUAAGGACAAAGUUAGAGAAACGAUGGAGAAGGCUUUCUGGGAUAGUGUCAUGGAAUCCAUGAAAAAGGAUGAAAAUAGAUACAAUCGAGUUGUUGAUCUAAUGAGAGAAGCAAGAGAUGAACUUUGUAGUUUGGCUCCUCAGAGUUGGAGACAAAAGAUUAGUGAAGCUAUAGAUAUAGACAUCCUCUCUCAGUUGUUGAUCACAGGCAAAAUCGACAUGGAUUAUCUUCAAAAGAUCAUGGAUUUCACAUUGGUCACUUUGCAGAAACUAUCCUCUCCAGCUAAGGAGGAUGAGCUAAAAGCAAAUUGUCAGAAGUUAUUUGGAGAACUAGCUGAUAUAUGUGUGGAUGGGUCAGAGAAUUCAUUUAUCCUGGCACUAGUUAGGGGUUUGCGUUUUGUACUGGAAGAGAUGCAGCUGCUGAAACAAGAAAUAAGCAAGGCAAGGAUUAGAAUGUUGGAACCAAUUCUCAAGGGACCUGGAGCUUUAGAUUAUUUGAGGAAAGCUUUCACCAAGCGUUAUGGUCUUCCUUCUAUGGCUAUGACCGCCUUACCCUUGACAUGGCAAUGGCUUUUAUCUGUCUCAGAUUCCAUGGACCAGGAAUUUAAUGAACACAAGGAGGCUCUAUCCAGCCUGACAAGUGGACAAGAUCGUUUCCUUCCUUCUGCCACCCUUAGAACUGGAGGAUGCUUUUCAGUUAAAAUGAAUAAAAAUCAUGCUUCACCUUUGACCUCUACAGAAGCUGUAGAUGAAUGCCAAGAAUGCACGGGGGACAAAGUUGAUUUAUUGGUGAGGCUGGGCUUGUUAAAGUUGGUGUGUGCGGUAUCUGGUCUUACGCAAGAAGGGUUGCCUGAAACUCUGCAGCUGAAUUUUUUUAGACUAAGGGCUACUCAGGCAAAAAUCCAAAAGAUCAUCGUAAUAGCUACCAGCAUUCUAGUCCAAAGACAGGUUCUUCAGAGUAUGCAAGCAGUAUCAAGCGCUGCAGAUAUGGAUAAAAUUGUUCAAGGAAGCGCCAAAGCUCUUUCUGAGCUCCUUGACUCCAACAAUGAUGCUGGUAUUCAAGAGAUCAUCUCGACACUUGUCAAACCUUUGGAGCAUGGCGACAAUGGUACUGAUGAGAUGAAGCUUCAGCAGAUCAAGGAGAUCAUGGCAAGGAUGUUAUCCAAGAGCCUGCAAGCUGGGGAUGCUAUUUUUGUGCAUGUAGCCAGGGCAAUAUAUUUGGCUGGAAGGGGAGUUGUACUUGGAGGAACUGGAAGACAAGGAAGAGAAUUGGCUGAAGCGGCUCUACGGCAGGUGGGAGUAGCUGUUCUAAUUGACGAGAUUGUGGAUGCCACCUCUGUAUUGGUUAUGGCAGCACAUGUGACGGUGAAUGUUCAUGGUCCUUGGUAUGCACAGUUAGUAGAUAAUAUGUGAAGCUUUUUAACAUUCUUUUGUAAAUAUCAGGGCAUGUAGUUAUUAUUCUGUAUUAUCUAGCUGUGAAACUCAGUCGAGUGUUGUUAUUGUAGUAAUGUGACUGGAAACCUAGAAAAUGUAGAUAUUUGCUAAAAUAAGAGUUAAAUAUAAACGCUUGCUUGUAUAUGCAUGCUAAGUUUGAGAAAUAAUUUGAAUGCUGAU